RNAcentral lists this unclassified non-coding RNA (336 nucleotides) under soil metagenome. RNAcentral's name for it is "partial contains 5.8S ribosomal RNA, internal transcribed spacer 2, and large subunit ribosomal RNA". The stretch from base 1 to 120 matches the Rfam family "5.8S ribosomal RNA", at positions 35 to 154 of the family's 154-position model. The record is from RNAcentral.
GAUGAAGAACGUAGUGAAAUGCGAUAAGUAAUGUGAAUUGCAGAAUUCAGUGAAUCAUCGAAUCUUUGAACGCACAUUGCGCCCGCCAGUAUUCUGGCGGGCAUGCCUGUUCGAGCGUCAUUUCAACCAUCAAGCCCCCGGCUUGUGUUGGGGACCUGCGGCUGCCGCAGGCCCUGAAAAGCAGUGGUGGGCUCGCUGUCACACCGAGCGUAGUAGCAUACAUCUCGCUCUGGGCGUGCUGCGGGUUCCGGCCGUUAAACCACCUUCAUAACCCAAGGUUGACCUCGGAUCAGGUAGGAAGACCCGCUGAACUUAAGCAUAUCAAUAAGCGGAGGA